Molecule: unclassified non-coding RNA, 236 nt
Filed under: Hevea brasiliensis (rubber tree)
Lineage: Eukaryota; Viridiplantae; Streptophyta; Magnoliopsida; Malpighiales; Euphorbiaceae
Source: RNAcentral
CCCCGUGUAUAAUAUGGGCAGAAACUUAUCUGAAAAAUACAAGCUUUGGUGGCUGAAGGUGGUGAUAUUUAUAAGAGAAUGAGUCUAUUUGUGUUCUUUUUGAAGGGUAAGCUAUGUGUGGGUAAUUUGUCAAAUCAAAACAAACUUAGGAUACAAGAAGAAGCUGCAAAACAAGGAGAAGUAUUCUCAUAUUUGUAGGCGCAAGAGAGGUUUAGAAAGAGAAGGGUUUGAGAGAG